Molecule: ribosomal RNA, 253 nt
Filed under: uncultured bacterium
Lineage: Bacteria
Description: partial 16S ribosomal RNA
Rfam family: Bacterial small subunit ribosomal RNA
Source: RNAcentral
UACGGGGGGGGCAAGCGUUGUUCGGAAUUACUGGGCGUAAAGGGCGCGUAGGCGGGUGGACAAGUCUCUCGUGAAAGCCCACGGCUCAACUGUGGAAUUGCGGGAGAUACUGUCUGUCUUGAGUCCGGGAGAGGAGGGUGGAAUUCCCAGUGUAGCGGUGAAAUGCGUAGAUAUUGGGAGGAACACCGGUGGCGAAGGCGGCCCUCUGGACCGGUACUGACGCUGAGGCGCGAAAGCUAGGGGAGCAAACGGG